AACGAACGCUGGCGGCAUGCCUAACACAUGCAAGUCGAACGGUAGAGGGGGCAACCCCUUGAGAGUGGCGAACGGGUGAGUAAUGCAUCGGAACGUGCCCAGUCGUGGGGGAUAACGCAGCGAAAGCUGUGCUAAUACCGCAUACGAUCUCUGGAUGAAAGCGGGGGACCGAAAGGCCUCGCGCGAUUGGAGCGGCCGAUGUCAGAUUAGGUAGUUGGUGGGGUAAAGGCUCACCAAGCCAACGAUCUGUAGCUGGUCUGAGAGGACGACCAGCCACACUGGGACUGAGACACGGCCCAGACUCCUACGGGAGGCAGCAGUGGGGAAUUUUGGACAAUGGGCGCAAGCCUGAUCCAGCAAUGCCGCGUGUGUGAAGAAGGCCUUCGGGUUGUAAAGCACUUUCGUUGGGGAAGAAAAAGCCAAAGAUAAUACCUUUGGAAAUUGACGUUACCCAAAGAAGAAGCACUGGCUAACUCUGUGCCAGCCGCCGCAGUAA
Molecule: ribosomal RNA, 496 nt
Filed under: uncultured bacterium
Lineage: Bacteria
Description: partial 16S ribosomal RNA
Rfam family: Bacterial small subunit ribosomal RNA
Source: RNAcentral